UCCCGCCGCCGCCUCCCUUCCCAGCCUCGCUCAGCUGGGGGGGUGGGGGGUGUGGGGGGGCAAGGACCGGCCUGUGGGCGUGGCUCAGCCAGCGUGAGGGAGCCACGACGCCCCACGACAAGGCCUGCCCGUCCGGGCCACCAAAACCCAGGGGCCUGUUCCCUCUGCCCCGCAGACUGCCCACCUCACCACACCGAGGGCAGCUUAAAUGGGCCUCAAAAUGGGCAGCCCGUCGCCCCCAGCCCCACGGAGGCCACAGCCCUGAGGAGUAGGCCUCAGCCCUCCAAAUGGCCACAGGGCCCUGCAGGCCGUGGGACUGAGGGAACCCGGGAUGGCUCUUGCCAGAGGUGGGGCUGCUCCAGGAAAGACCCCCGGGCUACAGAGACCCCUGCAGGGUGGCAGCGCGGCAGCUCCCCCCCCCCCCCCGCCCCCCGGGAGCACAGAAGCAGAGGAAGGGAGCUGGGAGGGACUUCUGCAGCGGAGAAGGGGCUCCCUUCGGAAAGGGGAAGGGACUGGGAUGGCAAACCCCUGCCAGCCUGGGAGAAAAGUCUGAACACAGGUAAGAGGCCCCCCCGGUGGGCUUGCUGCUCUGCUCCCGGAGCCCUGCCGCCUCCUCCCCCUGUCGCCUCCUCCCCCUUCUCCCCUCCUCCACCCUGUUCCUCAGGGCUGCCCCAGGACGACUCCUCCGGUUCUGGAACGUGCUCCCGCGGGACCUCCCCUGCCUGGCCGGCUUCCGGGAGGCUUCCAGGUGUGCGGCGCCCCUGGGGGUGGGGGACACGGCGGCCGAGGCUCCCCUGCACCAUUCCUCAGACGCCACCCGGCUACUGCGGGAAGAGGGUGCCUGCCAAGGGGACUGCUCACACCCACACCCGCUUCUAGGGGCCCCGGGAGGUGCCUGUGAGGGAGGGGCGGCAGGGGGCGGGGGCAGAGGCCCAGGAGACAACACCCGCUGGAUGGAAGGGGCUGGAAGGGCGUGUGCACCAGGAGGGGAGGGGAGGGGAGGCGCCCGUCCCCCUGCACCCAGUGCUCACGUCGCCUGGAAGGUCCCAUGCACACUCCCCCAGGGCCUGUCAGGGACGCUGCCAUGACCCUACCGGCUUCCACUAGCCCACAAGCCCUUCCUCGACUCCACACACAGGGACUCAGCCCAGUGCCCGAGGGCUGCAUAAGGGGGCAGCCUCAGGAGAAGUUUCUGCAAGGUUCCAGGAGGAGAUCAGGGUUUAACCCCCGGGAAAACCCCCAAUCCACCUCCCUCGUGCCCCACCUCCUGCUCUCCCUGGGGCCGCUCUAGCGUCCCCACCAACUCAGCAGCGGCCAGGCCUUCAAGGCCGGCGGGCUGGGGGUGAGCCAGGCACGUGGAGGCCCACGCCCGGUGACAGCUAGUGCACGGAGUUCGGCACGCAGCCUCGUGAAGGGAGGCCCAAGGGGAGGCUGCCCAGAGCGCCGGCCUCCAUGCCAGCUGUCAUCUAGCGGGGACUCUGAAGAAAAAGAGGGGCCACCGUGAACGGUUAGCACAGGACAGCGCGGAAACCGGGACGCGGGGCCCCCUGGGUCUGCUCGCCCUGAGCACGCAGCUGAGGACAGCUCCUUCCGAACCGCGGCCCCUCGAGCCAGCUGUCCCACCUGCAGAUGGUUUCUGGGUUUUUAGGCUGUGGUACCUCUUUCACAGCAGUGUUCUCCACGAGCGCCGGGCCUGUGCGGUGCAGGGCGCUGGCCCCAUUAUCGGGGUCUGGUGGCCUCCCACGGGGGGAGGGAGUGGGGGGUUAUUUUUAAGAUUUCCAUUUAUUCCAUCAAGCCCCGUGAACAGCCAGGGGCGGCGUAGGCCUCAGGGGGAGCGGGACUGAGGUGGAGAGCACUGCCCCGGGAGGCGCCAUCACCCCCAGGGACCACGCGUCCUGGGGAGCAGGCGGGACAGCCUCCUGAGCUACACCACCAAGGGGCCCCUGGGCUGUCCAGCUGCCCCAGGGCAGAUCCCUCGUCAGUGGGGACGCGGGACUGCCUCUUCCUCCCCGGAAUGACAGCCAGCUCUCCCUUCCCAGGAUGCUGCCCCUGGCGGAGAGAGACCACAACUUCCCGGGGGGCAGACCCUGGAAAUCUGGGCAACUGUCACUGCCGGCAACUACUACUCCCUGGAGACCAGAAGGAACCCGAUCGGCCGUGAUAUUCAGGGAAGGGACAGCAAAAAUCGGAAGCCCGCGUUGCGUUCAGUGACGGGGAACCCGCCGGCCGCAGCCAGCGGCGCCCUGGGGCUCGCUGAGCUGGCCCGCGCCCCUUCUCCAGGCCGAUGGACGUGGCGCCACGGGCCAGCGGACAAAGCCUCGACCAGCCUCAAUCUGCUGGGCCACGGCUGGACCCUUAAAGUUUCAUUUCGACAAGAGAGCUCAGAGCGAGACUCAGGGCUGAGGCCACCACACCAUCGUGCCCACAGGCCCGGGGGGGGAAGGACGCCCUGAGCCCCAGGGGUUCCCGUUUUCUGGCAAAAGGGCUCACUGCUGUCAUCAGACCCCAGCUGCUCGUGCCUGCCCCAGCACAUGACAUGCCCACGGCACCCCCAUGCCCAGCGUCCCGUGUGCCCAGAGGCCCAGGAAGGAGCGUGGGGCCACUUAUGUCCACACCAGUAGGCCAGAUGCUCUGACAAAGGUUUAGGGCCCACAGAUCAACCUGUCCCGGAGACCCAAGGGGACGGGUCUCGGCAAACCUGAGCCACGGCCUUGUGUGGCCAGCACUCAGGGACCCACGCCCUCCAGGUCCGGGGGGAGCUCUGCCCGCGGGCCUGCAGGUCGGACUGGGCUACGGCACCGGCUCCACUGGGUCACCCUACUCGGCUGCAAAGCCCUCUGGGUCCUGGCUUCCCCACGUGGGAAGCGAAGGGGCCGCACCCCGUCACUGCUGUUGGCGCUUCCAACAGGGGAGCCCUUGCCUCCCGCAGCCACCGCUCUACAGCUCAAAGUCCACACCCGAGUUCACGGACUCAACAGGAAAAGGACGUGACGUACCUCACCAACGUUUCCCGCAGCGAUGACACGUCGAAGUGACGUGCUACGUGCGUUCAAACAGAGCGUGUCGUUUGAAGAUUAUUAAGAAUUUAUUACAAUGCGCGUCAUUAAGACCAAAGCUCCCUGCUGUUCACGUUCUGAACACAGACAUUCCGGGGUGUGAAAUGGCAGGGGCACGUGCCCAACACUAUUCUCCAAGGUGCCCUCCAGCUCUGACGGCUGCAGGUGCUCCAAAUCACUCCCGGUGCCAUCGAGGCCAUAGCCCCUGCGCGGCUCCAUCGGGAGAACUGGGAGUGAGUGGGCAGCCACGGGAGAGGUGUGGGGCCUGAAGUGGCCCAACAAGUUCAAAGGAACAGACUGUCCUUCCCCAGCUGGCCUGUCCCGGGGACCCUGAGCCCCUGCACCUCUGGACACGUAAACCCUGACAGGGGAACACGGUCUCUGUUUCCCACACUGGUUUUUCCCUCGGCGAGGGCCCCCGAUUUACCUCCAAGGAAGGAAAACGCCUGCACCGCGGCGGCCAGUGGUUUCGUCCACAGGCUGCCUUUGGUGUUGAAGAGCUUUUUAAAAGUGAGCGCAAGAGACCCAUAAAGGUCCUGAACCACCAGCAGGGCGUCAAACGCCACAUCUUAACGGACCAGUCUCUGCCAUUAUCUUUUUUGAAAAUCUAAAUUAUGGUUAUUUUGUUUUCGCUUUGUUAAUUACACAUCCCUUUAAAUAGAACAAAUCUCCCCCUUU
Molecule: long non-coding RNA, 3734 nt
Organism: Felis catus (domestic cat)
Lineage: Eukaryota; Metazoa; Chordata; Mammalia; Carnivora; Felidae
Exons: 2
Source: RefSeq, a predicted model, not a curated record